This 847-nucleotide long non-coding RNA is filed under the name Triticum aestivum (bread wheat). RNAcentral's name for it is "long non-coding RNA (TAES_LNC005922)". The record is from RNAcentral. Lineage: Eukaryota; Viridiplantae; Streptophyta; Magnoliopsida; Poales; Poaceae.
ACAUAUCAGCACAACAACCAUCAGGAGAGAUCUUAUAAACGUUAGCAAAUAAGCUCUAGGGAUUAAGAAAAUUGAAUCUGCCCAACAUAACAGGCACACGUUAGCUAUAAUGUUGCCUCCAACAUAACAGUUAACAAUCCAACAUAGCAGACACACAUUAGUUAUAAAAUUGCCUCCAACAUAACCCUUAACAGUCCAACAUAACAGGCACACAUUAGUUAUAAAAUUGCCUCUGACAUAAACCCUUAACCGUCCAGCAUCAGUUCAACCAUCACAGCAUAGUUCAAAGUUUAAAUAGUCCAGUACAGCCAAAAGACUUUAAAGCAUUAAACAUAGAAACAUCUCCAAAAGACAACCAUCAGCUUAUUUGAAGCAUCAGCUCCAAGCUUCCCAACAUCCAAAAGCUUCUUGAUAUCCUUGCUCACGUGCCAUUUCUGGUUUGGAGAAAACAGAGGAAGGGUCAUGAUACAGAGUGCAUACAUCUAAGUAACUAGCAGUUCCAAGUAGCAACUAAAAUACUGUGUUAAGUAGCAAUUAGAACAACACUACUAAGUGAUUGGUAGCAACUAGAACAUCACUGGUAUGUGAUAAGUAGCAAUUAUAGCAACAAUACAAGAAGAUAAGUAUCAAUUACAGCAACACUACUAGGUGAGCAAUUAGAACAGCAGUACUAAUCAUACACAGUGAGCAUAAACAUUAGAGCACGAGAACAAUUAAAGAUCAACCUACUUAAAGAAAGCAAUAUACAUCAAGCUAUUUAAAGAUCAGCCGCUUUGAACAUAUACAUCAAGCUAGAUUUUUCUAAGUAACAAACCUGAAUCAGAAACACCAAAAAGAAGAGACUUAC